UUUUUGGAAAACACUUUUGACCUCUCGUUGGGUUAAGCCAAGGAAGAAGAUUAGCCAGCAGUUGAAGCUUACAUUUUUCUGCGUCAGUAGGCCUACUCGGUCUGGGGUGGAAAGGUGCGAGGGCCAUCCUGUGCCACCAGUCAAUUGAUGGUGGAUGACCUUCUGACCCCGUGCUCGCCAGGUGACCCGGCUGCCAUAGAAUUGACCUGGAUGGAUGUGCCUAGCGACAAGCUGCUGUAGCCCAUCUGCAUGUCCGACAUGCUGCCCUCACUAUAUACCACGCAACCCACAGUCAACAUGGAGGUCUUGUUCAAGGUCAGGAAGUUCACAGAGGACUUAGAACAGGAGGGUUGAGAGCUCCUGGGUGGCAGGGGCUUUACUACUUCUUACUCAGUCUCUCCUAUCAAGACCCAACUCCAGUCAAAGAGUAGCUACAGUAUUACAGCAGUAUUACAACACUACGAACCUGCAUUGGCAAGAAUGAUGGAGCAUUUUAAUUUACACACAAUUGUGCAAUGGAAAUGUUUUUUUUUUUGCAUAUCCCAACUCCCCCU
This is a long non-coding RNA of Salvelinus namaycush (lake trout), 554 nucleotides long. RefSeq lists it as uncharacterized. The record is from RefSeq and is a predicted model, not a curated record. The transcript is spliced from 3 exons. Lineage: Eukaryota; Metazoa; Chordata; Actinopteri; Salmoniformes; Salmonidae.